AUUGAACGCCGGCGGUAUGCUUAACACAUGCAAGUCGAACGGUAGCAGUAUAUAAGCUUGCUUAUAUAGCUGACGAGUGGCGGACGGGUGAGUAAUGCGUAGGAAUCUGUCCUUGAGAGGGGGAUAACACUAGGAAACUGGUGCUAAGACCGCGUAAAACUAAGGUUGAAAGUCUAGGUUUUCGGAUCUGGAGCUCAAGGGGGAGCCUACGUUAGAUUAGCUAGUUGGUGGGGUAAUAGCCUACCAAGGCGACGAUCUAUAGCUGUUCUGAGGGGAAGAUCAGCCACACUGGGACUGAGACACGGCCCAGACUCCUACGGGAGGCAGCAGUGGGGAAUAUUGGACAAUGGGCGAAAGCCUGAUCCAGCAAUACCGCGUGUGUGAAGAAGGCCUUAGGGUUGUAAAGCACUAGCAACGAGGAAGAAGUUGUUAUAGUUAAUAGCUAUAGCAAUUGACGUUACUCGAAUAAGAAGCACCGGCUAACUCUGUGCCAGCCGCCGCGGUAA
This 506-nucleotide ribosomal RNA is filed under the name uncultured bacterium. RNAcentral describes it as "partial 16S ribosomal RNA". It matches the Rfam family "Bacterial small subunit ribosomal RNA", at positions 30 to 523 of the family's 1533-position model. The record is from RNAcentral.